Pelobates cultripes (western spadefoot toad) is the source of this 280-nucleotide non-coding RNA. The record is from the annotation of a GenBank genome assembly. Lineage: Eukaryota; Metazoa; Chordata; Amphibia; Anura; Pelobatidae.
GCCUCCUCCACAUCUCCUGAUGUACUGGCCUGUCUCCUGGUAGCGCCUCCAUGCUCUGGACACUACGCUGACAGACACAGCAAACCUUCUUGGCACAGCUCGCAUUGAUGUGCCAUCCUGGAUGAGCUGCACUACCUGAGCCACUUGUGUGGGUUGUAGACUCCGUCUCAUGCUACCACUAGAGUGAAAGCACCGCCAGCAUUCAAAAGGGACCAAAACAUCAGCCAGGAAGCAUAGGAACUGACAAGUGGUCUGUGGUCACCACCUGCAGAACCACUCC